This 450-nucleotide ribosomal RNA is filed under the name uncultured bacterium. RNAcentral describes it as "bacterial SSU rRNA". It matches the Rfam family "Bacterial small subunit ribosomal RNA", at positions 354 to 796 of the family's 1533-position model. The record is from RNAcentral.
GUGGGGAAUAUUGGACAAUGGGCGAAAGCCUGAUCCAGCCAUGCCGCGUGUGUGAAGAAGGUCUUCGGAUUGUAAAGCACUUUAAGUUGGGAGGAAGGGCAGUAAGUUAAUACCUUGCUGUUUUGACGUUACCGACAGAAUAAGCACCGGCUAACUUCGUGCCAGCAGCCGCGGUAAUACGAAGGGUGCAAGCGUUAAUCGGAAUUACUGGGCGUAAAGCGCGCGUAGGUGGUUUUGUAGGUUGGAGGUGAAAUCCCCGGGCUCAACCUGGGAACUGCCUCCAAAACUGCAUGACUAGAGUACGGUAGAGGGUAGUGGAAUUUCCUGUGUAGCGGUGAAAUGCGUAGAUAUAGGAAGGAACACCAGUGGCGAAGGCGACUACCUGGACUGAUACUGACACUGAGGUGCGAAAGCGUGGGGAGCAAACAGGAUUAGAAACCCCAGUAGUCC